GCACCAGACUCCUACGGGAGGCAGCAGUGAGGAAUAUUGGUCAAUGGUCGGGAGACUGAACCAGCCAAGCCGCGUGAGGGAUGAAGGUACAGAGUAUCGUAAACCUCUUUUGUCAGGGAACAAAGGCGGGGACGUGUCCCCGGAUGAGUGUACCUGAAGAAAAAGCAUCGGCUAACUCCGUGCCAGCAGCCGCGGUAAUACGGAGGAUGCGAGCGUUAUCCGGAUUUAUUGGGUUUAAAGGGUGCGUAGGCGGGCUGUUAAGUCAGCGGUCAAAUGUCGGGGCUCAACCCCGUCCGGCCGUUGAAACUGGGGGCCUUGAGUGGGCGAGAAGAAGGCGGAAUGCGUGGUGUAGCGGCGAAAUGCAUAGAUAUCACGCAGAACUCCGAUUGCGAAGGCAGCAUGCCGGCUCCACACUGACGCUGAGGCACGAAAGCGUGGGUAUCGAACAGGAUUAGAUACCCCGGUAA
Molecule: ribosomal RNA, 467 nt
Filed under: uncultured bacterium
Lineage: Bacteria
Description: bacterial SSU rRNA
Rfam family: Bacterial small subunit ribosomal RNA
Source: RNAcentral